CUCAGACAUGCAAGUCGAACGAUUAAACUUUCCUUCGGGAAAGAUAUAAAGUGGCGCACGGGUGAGUAACACGUAAGUAAUCUACCUCUGGGUGGGGAAUAACAGUCGGAAACGACUGCUAAUACCGCAUAAUGCAGCGGCUCCUUAUGGAGACAGUUGUUAAAGUAUUUAUAUGCCUAGAGAGGAGCUUGCGGCAGAUUAGCUAGUUGGUAAGGUAAUGGCUUACCAAGGCAACGAUCUGUAGCCGACCUGAGAGGGUGGUCGGUCACACUGACACUGAAUAACGGGUCAGACUCCUACGGGAGGCAGCAGUCGGGAAUUUUGGGCAAUGGGCGAAAGCCUGACCCAGCAACGCCGCGUGAAGGAUGAAGUCUUUCGGGAUGUAAACUUCGUAAAAAUAGGAAGAAUAAAUGACGGUACUAUUUGUAAGGUCCGGCUAACUACGUGCCAGCAGCCGCGGUAAUACGUAGGGACCAAGCGUUGUUCGGAUUUACUGGGCGUAAAGGGCGCGUAGGCGGCGUAACAAGUCACUUGUGAAAUCUCCGAGCUUAACUCGGAACGGUCAAGUGAUACUGUUAUGCUAGAGUACAGAAAGGGUAAUCGGAAUUCUUGGUGUAGCGGUGAAAUGCGUAGAUAUCAAGAGGAACACCAGAGGCGAAGGCGGAUUACUAGGCUGAUACUGACGCUGAGGCGCGAAAGCUAGGGUAGCAAACGGGAUUAGAUACCCCGGUAGUCCUAGCCCUAAACGAUGAAUACUCGGUGUCUGGAGUUUUAAUUCUCUGGGUGCCGUCGCUAACGUUUUUAGUAUUCCGCCUGGGGAGUACGCACGCAAGUGUGAAACUCAAAGGAAUUGACGGGGACCCGCACAAGCGGUGGAGCAUGUGGUUUAAUUCGACGCAACGCGAAGAACCUUACCUGAACUAGAAUGCGAGGGAAGAAUACCUAAUAGUAUUCGUCGGGCAACCGACCCAAAGCAAGGUGCUGCAUGGCUGUCGUCAGCUCGUGUC
Molecule: ribosomal RNA, 1007 nt
Filed under: uncultured bacterium
Lineage: Bacteria
Description: bacterial SSU rRNA
Rfam family: Bacterial small subunit ribosomal RNA
Source: RNAcentral